RNAcentral lists this ribosomal RNA (520 nucleotides) under uncultured Glomus. RNAcentral's name for it is "SSU rRNA". It matches the Rfam family "Eukaryotic small subunit ribosomal RNA", at positions 569 to 1093 of the family's 1831-position model. Lineage: Eukaryota; Fungi; Glomeromycota; Glomeromycetes; Glomerales; Glomeraceae. The record is from RNAcentral.
AGCAGCCGCGGUAAUUCCAGCUCCAAUAGCGUAUAUUAAAGUUGUUGCAGUUAAAAAGCUCGUAGUUGAAUUUCGGGAUCAAUAUAUCGGUCGUGCCUUGGUACGUACUGGUAUCAUUGGUUUCUCCUUUCUGACGAACCAUGAUGUCAUUAAUUUGGUGUUAUGGGAAGUUAGGACUGUUACUUUGAAAAAAUUAGAGUGUUUAAAGCAGGCUUUAGCUUGAAUACAUUAGCAUGGAAUAAUGAAAUAGGACGUUUGAUCUUAUUUUGUUGGUUUCUAGGAUCGACGUAAUGAUUAAUAGGGAUAGUUGGGGGCAUUAGUAUUCAAUUGUCAGAGGUGAAAUUCUUAGAUUUAUUGAAGACUAACUACUGCGAAAGCAUUUGCCAAGAAUGUUUUCAUUAAUCAAGAACGAAAGUUAGGGGAUCGAAGACGAUCAGAUACCGUCGUAGUCUUAACCAUAAACUAUGCCGACUAGGGAUCGGAUGAUGUAAUUUUUAAUGACUCAUUCGGCGCCUUACGG